GACGAACGCUGGCGGCGUGCUUAACACAUGCAAGUCGAACGGAAAGGCCCUGCUUGCAGGGUACUCGAGUGGCGAACGGGUGAGUAACACGUGGGUGAUCUGCCCUGCACUUCGGGAUAAGCCUGGGAAACUGGGUCUAAUACCGGAUAGGAGCCAUUUUUAGAGUGAUGGUUGGACAGUUUUUUCGGUGUAGGAUGAGCUGGCGGCGUAUCAGCUUGUUGGUGGGGUAAUGGCCUACCAAGGCGGCGACGUGUAGCUGGCCUGAGAGGGUGGACGGCCACAUUGAGUCUUAGAGACGGCCGAGACGCCGACGGGUGGCAGCUGGGGGGAAUAUUGCACAAUGGGCGCAAGCCGGAUGCAGCGGGGCCGCGUGGGGGAUGGCAGCCUUCGGGUUGUAAACUCCUUUCGCGAUGGACGAAGCUUUUUGUGACGGUACCUAGAUAAGAAGCACCGGCUAACUACGUG
Molecule: ribosomal RNA, 465 nt
Filed under: uncultured bacterium
Lineage: Bacteria
Description: partial 16S ribosomal RNA
Rfam family: Bacterial small subunit ribosomal RNA
Source: RNAcentral